UUGCUUCAGCAGCUCAUAUACAGAAAUUAGAACAAUACAGAGAAGAUUAGCUUGGCCCCUAUGCAAAGAUGACACCCAAAUUUGUGAAGUGUUCCAUAUUUUU
Small nuclear RNA from Artibeus jamaicensis (Jamaican fruit-eating bat), 103 nucleotides. The record is from RefSeq and is a predicted model, not a curated record. Lineage: Eukaryota; Metazoa; Chordata; Mammalia; Chiroptera; Phyllostomidae.